This 449-nucleotide ribosomal RNA is filed under the name uncultured bacterium. RNAcentral's name for it is "partial 16S ribosomal RNA". It matches the Rfam family "Bacterial small subunit ribosomal RNA", at positions 29 to 523 of the family's 1533-position model. The record is from RNAcentral.
AACGAACGCUGGCGGCAGGCUUAACACAUGCAAGUCGAGCGCCCUUUUCGGAGGGAGCGGCAGACGGGUGAGUAACACGUGGGAAUCUACCCAUCACUACGGAACAACUCCGGGAAACUGGAGCUAAUACCGUAUACGUCCUUCGGGAGAAAGAUUUAUCGGUGAUGGAUGAGCCCGCGUUGGAUUAGCUAGUUGGUGGGGUAAAGGCCUACCAAGGCGACGAUCCAUAGCUGGUCUGAGAGGAUGAUCAGCCACACUGGGACUGAGACACGGCCCAGACUCCUACGGGAGGCAGCAGUGGGGAAUAUUGGACAAUGGGCGCAAGCCUGAUCCAGCCAUGCCGCGUGAGUGAUGAAGGCCCUAGGGUUGUAAAGCUCUUUCACCGGUGAAGAUAAUGACGGUAACCGGAGAAGAAGCCCCGGCUAACUUCGUGCCAGCCGCCGCGAUAA